AGGGAUUUAGCUCAAUGGUUCCAGCAUCUGCCUUGCAAGCACAAGGACCCAAGUCUAAUCCCUG
This 64-nucleotide transfer RNA is filed under the name Fukomys damarensis (Damara mole-rat). It matches the Rfam family "tRNA". Rfam says of the family: Transfer RNA (tRNA) molecules are approximately 80 nucleotides in length. The record is from Rfam by way of RNAcentral. Lineage: Eukaryota; Metazoa; Chordata; Mammalia; Rodentia; Bathyergidae.